RNAcentral lists this ribosomal RNA (423 nucleotides) under uncultured prokaryote. RNAcentral describes it as "bacterial SSU rRNA". It matches the Rfam family "Bacterial small subunit ribosomal RNA", at positions 355 to 774 of the family's 1533-position model. The record is from RNAcentral.
UGAGGAAUCUUGGACAAUGGGGGCAACCCUGAUCCAGCGACGCCGCGUGAAGGACGAAGGUCUUCGGAUUGUAAACUUCUUUUCUCUGGGAAUAAGAAAGCCCCAGAAAUGGGGAUAGUGAAUGUACUAGAGGAAUAAGCCAUGGCCAACUCCGUGCCAGCAGCCGCGGUAAUACGGGGAUGGCGAGCGUUACUCGGAUUUACUGGGUGUAAAGGACAGGCAGGCGGCUUUGCAAGUUGAAGGUUAAAUCCUCUGACUCAAUCAGAGACAUGCCUUCAAAACUACAUUGCUUGAGGAUUUGGGAGGAGAGCGGAAUUCCCGGUGUAAGGGUGAAAUCUGUAGAUAUCGGGAGGAACACCUGUGGCGAAAGCGGCUCUCUGGCAAAUCCCUGACGCUGAACUGGGAAAGCUAGGGGAGCAAACA